AGAGCGAACGCUGGCGGCAGGCCUAACACAUGCAAGUCGAGCGCGUGUAGCAAUACACGAGCGGCAGACGGGAGAGUAACACGUGGGAACGCGCCCUUCGGUUCGGAAUAACUCAGGGAAACUUGAGCUAAUACCGGAUACGCCCUUACGGGGAAAGAUUUAUUGCCGAAGGAACGGCCCGCGUCCGAUUAGCUAGUUGGUGAGGUAACGGCUCACCAAGGCGACGAUCGGUAGCUGGUCUGAGAGGAUGACCAGCCUCACUGGGACUGAGACACGGCCCAGACUCCUACGGGAGGCAGCAGUGGGGAAUAUUGGACAAUGGGCGCAAGCCUGAUCCAGCCAUGCCGCGUGGAUGAUGAAGGCCUUAGGGUUGUAAAGCUCUUUUGUGCGGGAAGAUAAUGACGGUACCGCAAGAAUAAGCCCCGGCUAACUUCGUGCCAGCAGCCGC
This 448-nucleotide ribosomal RNA is filed under the name uncultured bacterium. Its description in RNAcentral is "SSU rRNA". It matches the Rfam family "Bacterial small subunit ribosomal RNA", at positions 26 to 518 of the family's 1533-position model. The record is from RNAcentral.